This 907-nucleotide ribosomal RNA is filed under the name Nilaparvata lugens yeast-like symbiont. RNAcentral describes it as "eukaryotic LSU rRNA". It matches the Rfam family "Eukaryotic large subunit ribosomal RNA", at positions 40 to 947 of the family's 3401-position model. The record is from RNAcentral. Lineage: Eukaryota; Fungi; Ascomycota.
AUAUCAAUAAGCGGAGGAAAAGAAACCAACAGGGAUUGCCCCAGUAACGGCGAGUGAAGCGGCAGCAGCCCAGAUUUGAAAUCCGUUCCCCCUCUCCGGGGAGACCGAGUUGUAAUCUGCAGAGGAUGCUUUUGGCGCGGCGCCUUCCGAGUUCCCUGGAACGGGACGCCACAGAGGGUGAGAGCCCCGUCCGGUCGGACGCCACAACCUCGGUAAAGCUCCUUCGGCGAGUCGAGUAGUUUGGGAAUGCUGCUCAAAGCGGGAGGUAUAUGUCUUCUAAGGCUAAAUACCGGCCAGAGACCGAUAGCGCACAAGUAGAGUGAUCGAAAGAUGAAAAGCACUUUGAAAAGAGAGUUAAACAGUACGUGAAAUUGUUGAAAGGGAAGCGCUCGUGGCCAGACCCGGGCCCGGCGGAUCAUCCGGCGCUCGCGUCGCCGGUGCGCUCUGCCGCGGCCCAGGCCAGCAUCGGCCCGCGGCGGGGGAUAAAGGCGGCGGGAAUGUGGCUCCCCUCCGGGGGGAGUGUUUAUAGCCCGCCGUGCAAUGCCCCGCGGGCGGGCCGAGGUACGCGCACCCGCAAGGAUGCUGGCGUAAUGGCCACCAGCGACCCGUCUUGAAACACGGACCAAGGAGUCGUCCUCGUAUGCGAGUGUUCGGGCGCCAAAACCCCCGACGCGUAAUGAAAGUGAACGCUGGUGAGAACCCCUCUCACGGGGCGCAUCACCGACCGAUCCUGAUGCUCUCGGAUGGAUUUGAGUAGGAGCAUACGGGGCCGGACCCGAAAGAAGGUGAACUAUGCCCGUGUAGGGUGAAGCCAGAGGAAACUCUGGUGGAGGCUCGCAGCGGUUCUGACGUGCAAAUCGAUCGUCAAACAUGGGCAUGGGGGCGAAAGACUAAUCGAACCUUCUAG